This 253-nucleotide ribosomal RNA is filed under the name uncultured bacterium. RNAcentral's name for it is "partial 16S ribosomal RNA". It matches the Rfam family "Bacterial small subunit ribosomal RNA", at positions 524 to 776 of the family's 1533-position model. The record is from RNAcentral.
UACGAAGGGGGCUAGCGUUGCUCGGAAUCACUGGGCGUAAAGCGCACGUAGGCGGGUUGUUAAGUCAGGGGUGAAAUCCUGGAGUUCAACUCCAGAACUGCCUUUGAUACUGGCGAUCUCGAGUCCGGGAGAGGUGAGUGGAACUGCGAGUGUAGAGGUGAAGUUCGUAGAUAUUCGCAAGAACACCAGUGGCGAAGGCGGCUCACUGGCCCGGUACUGACGCUGAGGUGCGAAAGCGUGGGGAGCAAACAGG